Molecule: ribosomal RNA, 398 nt
Filed under: uncultured bacterium
Lineage: Bacteria
Description: bacterial SSU rRNA
Rfam family: Bacterial small subunit ribosomal RNA
Source: RNAcentral
UAUUUGGCAAUGGGCGCAAGCCUGACCCAGCAACGCCGCGUGAAGGAAGAAGGCUUUCGGGUUGUAAACUUCUUUUGUCAGUGACGCAGCAAGUGACGGUACCUUACGAAUAAAUCACGGCUAACUACGUGCCAGCAGCCGCGGUAAUACGUAGGUGGCAAGCGUUAUCCGGAUUUACUGGGUGUAAAGGGCGUGUAGGCGGGGAAGCAAGUCAGAUGUGAAAACCACGGGCUCAACCUGUGGCCUGCAUUUGAAACUGUUUUUCUUGAGUGCUGGAGAGGCAAUCGGAAUUCCGUGUGUAGCGGUGAAAUGCGUAGAUAUACGGAGGAACACCAGUGGCGAAGGCGGAUUGCUGGACAGUAACUGACGCUGAGGCGCGAAAGCGUGGGGAGCAAACA